Molecule: ribosomal RNA, 479 nt
Filed under: Streptococcus sp. oral taxon 066
Lineage: Bacteria; Bacillati; Bacillota; Bacilli; Lactobacillales; Streptococcaceae
Description: bacterial SSU rRNA
Rfam family: Bacterial small subunit ribosomal RNA
Source: RNAcentral
GAUGAACGCUGGCGGCGUGCCUAAUACAUGCAAGUAGAACGCUGAAGCUUGGUGCUUGCACCGAGCGGAUGAGUUGCGAACGGGUGAGUAACGCGUAGGUAACCUGCCUGGUAGCGGGGGAUAACUAUUGGAAACGAUAGCUAAUACCGCAUAACAGUCGACAUUGCAUGAUGUUGAUUUGAAAGGGGCAAAUGCUCCACUACCAGAUGGACCUGCGUUGUAUUAGCUAGUUGGUGAGGUAACGGCUCACCAAGGCGACGAUACAUAGCCGACCUGAGAGGGUGAUCGGCCACACUGGGACUGAGACACGGCCCAGACUCCUACGGGAGGCAGCAGUAGGGAAUCUUCGGCAAUGGACGGAAGUCUGACCGAGCAACGCCGCGUGAGUGAAGAAGGUUUUCGGAUCGUAAAGCUCUGUUGUAAGAGAAGAACGAGUGUGAGAGUGGAAAGUUCACACUGUGACGGAACUACCAGAAAGG